This 253-nucleotide ribosomal RNA is filed under the name uncultured bacterium. Its description in RNAcentral is "partial 16S ribosomal RNA". It matches the Rfam family "Bacterial small subunit ribosomal RNA", at positions 524 to 776 of the family's 1533-position model. The record is from RNAcentral.
UACGGAGGAUGCAAGCGUUAUCCGGAUUUAUUGGGUUUACAGGGUGCGUAGGCGGGACAGUAAGUCAGUGGUGAAGGUCUGCGGCUUAACCGUAGAAUUGCCAUUGAUACUGCUAUUCUUGAAUGUAGUUGAGGUAGGCGGAAUGUGUAAUGUAGCGGUGAAAUGCUUAGAUAUUACACAGAACACCGAUUGCGUAGGCAGCUUACUAAGCUAUUAUUGACGCUGAGGCACGAAAGCGUGGGGAUCGAACAGG